GUCCACGCUGUAAACGAUGGAUGCUAGACGUGGUGGGUCUUGACCCCUGCCGUGUCGAAGUUAACACAAUAAGCAUCCCGCCUGGGGAGUACGGUCGCAAGACUAAAACUCAAAGGAAUUGACGGGGGCCCGCACAAGCGGUGGAUCAUGUGGUUUAAUUCGAAGCAACGCGAAGAACCUUACCUAGGUUUGACAUCCUCUGAAAUUAGUAGAGAUAUUAAUGGCUCGCAAGAGACAGAGAGACAGGUGCUGCAUGGCUGUCGU
Molecule: ribosomal RNA, 264 nt
Filed under: uncultured bacterium
Lineage: Bacteria
Description: partial 16S ribosomal RNA
Rfam family: Bacterial small subunit ribosomal RNA
Source: RNAcentral